GCCUACGGGGCGCAGCAGUAGGGAAUUUUCGUCAAUGGGCGCAAGCCUGAACGAGCAAUGCCGCGUGAACGAGGAAGGUCUUCGGAUCGUAAAGUUCUGUUGCAGGGGAAAAAGAGCGGAGAGAGGAAAUGGUCUCCGAUUGAUAUUACCCUUCGAGGAAGUCACGGCUAACUACGUGCCAGCAGCCGCGGUAAUACGUAGGUGGCGAGCGUUAUCCGGAAUGAUUGGGUGUAAAGGGUGCGUAGACGGAGAAACAAGUUGGUUGUGAAAUCCCUCGGCUCAACUGAGGAACUGCAACCAAAACU
This 305-nucleotide ribosomal RNA is filed under the name uncultured bacterium. RNAcentral's name for it is "bacterial SSU rRNA". It matches the Rfam family "Bacterial small subunit ribosomal RNA", at positions 337 to 634 of the family's 1533-position model. The record is from RNAcentral.